UCGCCGUCAAGUCGCAGGACACCGAGGCGGCCAUCGACGUGCUGGCGGCGCUCGCCGGCCCCGACACGGUGGUGGUGUCCUUACAGAACGGCAUGAAUCCGCCGCGCCUGGCCGAGCGGCUCGGCGCCGAUCGCGUGCUCGGCGUCUUCGUGAGCUUUCCCGCCGACUGGCAGGGUCCCGGGCACAUCGAGCACGGCGGCCCGGGCAAUGUCUGGGUGGGCGAGCUCGACGGCCGGCGCACGGAGCGCGUGGAGCGGGUGAGGGCGCUCCUGGCCCACGUGGCCACUGCGCAUGUCACCGACAAUAUCG
RNAcentral lists this unclassified non-coding RNA (309 nucleotides) under uncultured bacterium. Its description in RNAcentral is "contains 16S-23S intergenic spacer region". The record is from RNAcentral.